UGUACAUAUAUAUAUGAAUUUAUAUAUUUAUGUAUAUAAAUAUAUAAAUGUUUUAAAUGAUGAAUCCAGUGCCUACAAUAGUGCCUGGCACAUAAUAGGCAUUCAGUAAGUAUUUGUUGAUUGAUUGAGUGAGUACAGGACACUGACUAGAUCCUGGAAAUAAGAUGUGUAAGAAAUGCUCCCUCAUCUCAAGAAGCUCACAGUCUAGUGGAAGACAGAAGCAUGAGAGAAUGAUUCUCAGAGGGGGUUCCCUGGACAAGCUGCUUUAGCAUCACCUGGGGACUUGUUAGAAAUGCAAAUUAUUGGGGUCCGCUGAGACCUACUGAAUCAGAUGCUGUGCGUGGGACCUAGCAAUCUCUGUUUUCAUAGCUCUCCUAAUGACCUUGGAGUUUGAGAACCACCCUAUGAAUGUAACUAUAGAAAGCUUAUAAUAUAUAUAAUUAAAACUACUAGAAAUAAUAAAAAACAACUCUGUAUUGCAAGGAAACUAGGAUGUGUUUUUAGCUAAGAAAAGGUAUGAGGUAUGGAGAUAUAUUUUUGUUAAGAGAAAAGAAAGUAAAUUUUGUCCUAAAGUGAAGCUGGUUAUUUCAGAAUGAAAAGAGAAAAAUAAAGGACAAACUAAGGACAUAGACAUUUAGGAAAAGAAAAAGAGAAAGGAUGGAAGGAAGGAAGGGAGGGAGUUAGUUUUGUAGUCACAUUGGCUAAAAAUUGAAUUGUUGUAAAGGUUUUUAAAAAUGAUACACUUGCUUUUUUGUUUUAAUAGUUUGCGUAUGUAAUUUUCUUUCAUUUGCAGAAAGGGCAAAAUUUUCUUGGACUAUUGGUCUGCUCUUAAUAAGAUAUUAUGAAUGUUUUGUUUUGUUUUGUUUUUACCUUUUGAGUAAUCUCCCUGAAAAGCAAAAAUGUUGUGUUUUACUAAAAUACUUUCCUGUGCUUCAUGUUGUCUUUAUCAGAUCUUUGAUUACUUAACUGAGUCUUAACGCUAAGAGCUGAAUUUUACUUAAAACAAUGUAAUCUCCUAUAUUUGCUUUUAAAAUCUUUCGUCACUUUGGUUAAAAAUAUAAUUAAGUAUUAUCUGUGAUCCUAUUUAGUCAAGUGUCCAAACCUUUUGAUAUUUUUUGCAAACUUUCCAAAAUCGAUUUUUAAACACAAUUUUUUGACCUGGAAAGUAAGUUGGAGUUUUCCAGAGGGUCCCUGGAACAUCUCAAAAGAUUUGUUUUUUCUCUUCAUAAAAGGGAGGUGCUAAAUGAAUUGGUUUAUGUGAUAUUGCUAAAUUACAUGGGAAGUCUUGUUAAAUAAGAAAUAUCAAGCUUUCUUUACAUUGUAUCUGUGUAGGUAUGUGUUUUAAGUGUUGCAGAAAUUCUAUGAAAUUCCUAGAAAUCAGAUGUCCCAGGAUAAUGUUAUCACUGUAAUUCCAGUUAUUAUCUUAAAAUGUUGUAUUCCCAGAUAUAAUCAGAUUUUCUUGCCAAUUGCAUUGUAAUGAACUUUAUCAGAUCUUUAACCAUGGCAGUUACUGUUUUAUUCUGAUGUUUUGUAAAAGUUUUCCUGUAAAAGUGCUUCAUCUUCAAGGAGGUUCAUGAAUGGACUCUAACAAGUAUUGUGGAAUACAAGUUUCUGAUAACUUUAAGGUCGUCCAACUGAACUGGGUAAGAAUUUCCAGAACUACCGAAAAAAUGAAUUCACACAGAGCAAACAUUAAUUACAUGGGGUUGAAUGAACAUGGGAGUGAGUGAACUGAGGAGGAUGAUCAUAAUUUUUUAUGACUUUUUGGUUUGAAACAUUGCUGUUUUUUUUUUUUAAUGUUUGGUUUUUCCAGAUUUAAGAAAAACCUUUUUCUCUUUUCUCUUAAUUUAUCUAUGAUUUAUAGCAGUUUGUUAAAUUAUUCCUUUAUAAGCAGAAUUGAAACAAUUGCUUUUUCUCCCUACCUCAUACCUCCAGAAUUUAACAACUGUUAGUGAGUAUUCUUAUUUUCAUGGUAAUACAGUUAUUUGAGUAAGCUCAAUAAGAAUCUGUUCUUAAAAUGAGCAUAAGUGGAAACAUUGGUUAUGUUACUGAGGCUUUGACUGGAAUGUCAUAUCUGAGAGAUCUACAUAGACUUAGAUAUGACCAGACAGCUUUAAGAAACUACGGUUGACUUUAGGGAGCCAAUAAACAAUAGAGCCCCUUGGAAAAGUUGGCCUGGUACCUUGCUUGCAGGGUUCCCAGCAGCCUUACUAGGUGAAUGUGGAAGGUCACUUCCUGGCAGGCUCAGGAACCUCAGAAUAUUUGGGAGACCUUGAGAAGAGAGGAAUUAACCCAGAUUUGUAGGUAUUGCAGGUGAAGUGUGAUAGCAAGUCCUUGGCUUGGCUUCCUAGCCUCAAGAGGCUUUUAAGAGUUCAAUCUGAGAUUCCUUACCAAAAAUUGUAGCAAAGCAGAGUUAGAAGAGCCUAUAUGAUCAGUUAUUAUUCUUGCUACACUUGUGUAAAUAGGCCAACUUUAUUGAAACUAGAUUUAAUUUGCAAACAAAUUAGUCUUUCUGUGAUUAUUUUUGGUAGGUGGAAAAAUUAUGUUUCAGUAACACACCUUUAUAAAUAUCAGAUUCUAGGGGCGCCUGGGUGGCUCAGUUGGUUAAGUGUCCCACUCUUGAUUUCGGCUCAGGUCAUGAUCUCACAGUUUUGUGAAUUCAAGCCCCACAUCAGUCUCUGAGCUGGCAGUGCAGAACUUACUUAAGAGUCUCUCUCUCCCUUGCUGUCUGCCCCUCCCUCCCUCGCUCUGUCUCUGUCUCUCUCAAAGUAAAUAAAUAAACUUAAAAAAGAAACUUUAUGAAUAUCAGAUUCUAGUGCUGUUAAUUAGCUUUGAGGUUUUGUUUUCCAUCUGUUAAAGUUACUGGAUCCUGAGUUAUAGUUUCCUUCAAUAUUUGGCUAUAGCUCUGCAAAUAAACCUUUCCAAUUUUCUCCCAGUUUUGACUUGGAAUCACUAAGAACAAAACUAACCUUUCCCCCAAAGCCUUAUAAACUGAAUGCGAAUGACUUAAUAUAAACUUUCGGAGAAAUGGCCACAAUAACUCGUGUUUCAGCAAUCAUGCCUGCUGCUCUGUGUGCCACUCAGAAAGUUUACUUGAACACCUGAUGAUGUCAGAGACAUUCAAACUGCAAAAGAUGCUUUGACUCUGACAUCUAGAAAUUUUCUUGACUGGCUGCCCCUGGGCUUAGAAGCUGGUUUAUAAUUUGUUGUAAUCAUUAACCUUUGUUUUUCUUUUGUUUCCAUAGAAAUGCCUUAAUCAAUAGUUGAUUUCUCACACAUUAUAGGCCCAAUUGUGGGAGCCCAGUUACACCAUAACCUCCUAAUAUUAGAUACAACCAUUUAACUGAACUGAGCUGUUUUUAAGACUAAGAGAUUAAUUCCAUGAAACAGUAAAAUAAUCUACCAACUCAGCUUCUGGAUUAUGAAGCUUUUUGCAGUUUCAAAGGUGGGACUGAAGGGAAGCAAAAUAUGCCACUCCAAAAAAUAAGCCACUUUGGCAUAUGGAUUAUGUUGAAUUAAAAUUAUUUAAGAAAUAGCCAUUGUAAGAAGGACACUCCUUUGUCCCCCUGGAAGCAGGAAAUAAACUUCCGUGUGAAGGGCACCCUCUCGGCACCUGGCGGGUAAAAGCAUUCUCAUCACUGGAGAUGGGAUUCAGGACUGAGAAGCCUGUAAAAACAGCUUCGUUACUUCUUCAUUAAUUUGCCACCCCAAGCCCAAAUUCCUUCAUCAAUUCUUCACAAAUAAUUGUUUCUGGGUUUUUUAAAAGGUAUAAAGCCUGCCUGCCUGGUCACUUCUUUUGAGUCUCAUAUUUGUAUGGCUUGUGUAUAUAUGGAAUUAAAUUUGUUUUUUUCUCCUGAUAAGUUAUCUUAUAUCAAUUUAAUUUUUAGGCCAGCCAAAGAAUCUAGAAGGGAAGAAGGGAAAAUUUUCCUUUCCUUACACAUCUUUUUUACAUUUGCUUUCAAGGGCACAUGCUGGUUUUUUUUUUUUUUUUUUUAAAUGUUUAUUUAUUUUUGAGAGACAGAGAGAAACAGAGCACAAGCAGGGGAGGGACAGAGAGAGAGGGAGACACAGAAUCCGAAGCAGGCUCCAGCCUCUGAGCUGUCAGCACAGAGCCUGACACGGGGCUCAAACCCACAAACUGUGAGAUCAUGACCUGAGCAAAGCCGGCUGCUUAACCAGCUGAGCCACCCACGUGCCCCACAUACUGGGUUCCUGGAAGAACAUUCAUGCUUACUGCCAGACCAGCACUGUUUCAGAGGCCAACCAGAGAGCCUCUCAGGACCAUUACCAAGUCAGCUCUGAUUAUGCCCACUUCUAAGAGAGACUUACAGCCAAUCCAUUUAAUUUACUCUGUUACCCUUUGUCAAAUUUCUUCAUUCUCCUUAGCCUGUGAUACCUUUCCUAUUGGGAAAAGAUAACUAGCUGCUCUAACCUGGGUGACUCUGUUCUGGUUAGUAGAGGAGGCUCUUUGGGCCAGAACCUUUGUGGGUUUUCUAACUUCUCUGUAGUUGAGCAGAUUGGUCUUCCAGUUAUGCUGUGGCUCACUGUGCUGACACAGUGAAGGAAGUGUGCUAACGGGUUAUGGAUGGCUACCUCAGUCACCUCAAGAAGGGACUGAGUUACAGCUCAGGCCACGUUUAUAACCUACUGAGUGUGGAACUAGGGAUCUGUUAUUUCAGGCCAACAUGUAGAUGUAUUGCUACCAUUUACUCAACUCCUGAGCACCUACAUGCUAAACGCUCUCCAUCCCAAAUGGAGACAGUGUAAUUUGCUUUGGACACUUUUUUAAAAUAGAAGAAAUUAAAUUUUAGCUGUCAAAAAUAAUAAAAUUAUAUUUUGAGAAGUUAAGAAAUUUGUCCAGUAGCAGACUGAAUGCAUAAUGUUUAUUUUCCAGAGUUGACCGUAUAUCUUCACCUUCAAGCACAAGUUUAAAGCUGUGAGUUUUUCAGAAUCCUAACUAAAUGAUGUACCAAAAAACCUUUUAUUGAGAUUUUAGAGCAGUUUACUAGCUUUGCUAGAGUUUUGUCUUUAAUUUUUAUCACACCAGAAAAUCAGGUUCCCUAAACCUUGGCACGAUUGGUAUUUUGAGCCAGAUGACUCUGCUGUGAGGGUUGUCCUCUGCAUUGUGGAACAUUUAGCUGCAUCCCUUGUCUCCACCCACUAGAUGUCAGUAGCAACUCCUCAUCCAGAAGACAGCCAAAAAUGUUCCUUAGGGGGCAAAGUCACCCCCAGCUGAAAGCCACUGACAUAAACCAUCAAGUGAGUGUAAGUGUGUAUUUUAUAAUACAUGCCUUACUGUAUUGGAUGUAAGGCCAUUUCAUGUAGUAUAAUGAUACCUAAGGCCUUUUCUAUGGCUAGAUCCCCAGAUUUGAAGAUGACAAAUAGAACUGAUUCAUGUUCACAUCUUUUAAAGCCCUUAGGUUUAGGGUGGGUAAGUCAAAAGCAGUUUGAAAUCUCACAUCUCUGGGGUGCCUGGGUGGCGCAGUCGGUUGGGCGUCCGACUUCAGCCAGGUCACGAUCUCGCGGUCCGUGAGUUCGAGCCCCGCGUCAGGCUCUGGGCUGAUGGCAGAGACUGGAGCCUGUUUCCGAUUCUGUGUCUCCCUCUCUCUCUGCCCCUUCCCCGUUCAUGCUCUGUCUCUCUCUGUCCCAAAAAUAAAUUAACGUUGAAAAAAAAAAAUAAAAAAAAAAAUAAAUCUCACAUCUCUGGUUUUAAUUUAGGCGGGGGAAGGUUAUAACCUGUAGCUUUGCUUGGUUCUGUUUGUUCGUUUUUCAGAUUACUGAUACAUGUGAAUCAGCCAGACCAUUUUGUAAAUACCCUCAACCUGCAAUAAUUUUUUCCGCCUGUUUCCAAAAGAGUUACAGCUUUCAUUUCCAUAAGGAUGACUGUAACCCAGCAAGUUACUGUUCCUGCAAACCGCCUGACUUCCAUUGUCUGCCAGAUCUUUUCAGGCUGGUCCGCUUUAUUUCUGUGCCAACACUUUUCUUUAUAAACAUGAAUUCUAUCUUUAGUGACACUAAGGUACAUGAGUAUUUCUCAUUUUCCUGAAUGUUAUUUCUAAACCCAUAUAGCUUUUCGGGGAGGAGAAAGAUGUAAGGGGAAUCCAUGCAGGCUUUGUUGAGUAUAGCUUUGUUGAGUAUAGCACAAAGCAAUUUGUUAGGGAAAGCACAUGUCUUUCAGAAGGACAUGAGCCAGGACUUUUCUGGAAUAACUCUUCCCCCAACUCCCUCCCAGCCACUCUAGAUAUGAAGGCAGUUGUGUUUCUGCAAGUUUCAGUUUUCAGAAAUUGGAGCCCAGGCCAAGUUGAACCAGAAGAAGCUGUGGUCCAUCCCAGUGCUGACACCCACACCUAAAGGUGCUCAGCCUGGGAUGUAUCCCCAGGGCAUGAGGUGGAGUAAGGAGGCUGUUUGCCUGUAGAGAACACGGCUCUUCCUGAUGAGUGGAGCUGGGGGUGGGGUCUGAGCAGCAUGAAGUACCUUGUAGAGUCCGAUGUGCCCAUUUCCAGAGUUUCAAAAAAAGAAAGCAAGAGUUAUGCUAGAAGAUGCAAAGGUACUAUGGGUGCCUGAUGUCAUUAAAUCUCAAGAAUGUUAAGCCCAUGAGCAGUGAGUCUCCUGUGUAGCAUACCACAACCUCUGGCCAACUUGGUUUCAUCCAUGAUGAUAACCAGUGGUAGUUCUCCUGGCUCUUUAUCUGAACACUCCAUGACUCAUCAUCCCACUGACCAAUAUUUCUGAGAGCUUACUGUGUGCCUGGCACUCUGUUGAGCAAACCCAGGGACACACCCUGCCCUCGUGGAACUUAUAGUCCAGCUGGGAGUCAGAUGUAAAUAUCCAUGAAGAUAAAUGAAAGAGAGGUACGUCGAGAAGAACUAGUGGUCUGACAAAAAUAAGCACACGUGACUCCAGUUCUCCACCCAGAUGUCUGGUAUUUACGCUUCUCAGGGAACUAUCAGCUGACCUCAGUGGAUCCAGAAGGUUGUAUUGGUUUAGGCUCUUGAAAAAUACUCCAUGCUUAACAAGGAAAUAUUUUGGAAAGCAUCCAGAAGAACAGAAGAAAAAUAAUGUUAAAAAUGCAAAUAACUAUACUUUCAGAUACAAGUGUUUCUGUUGACAAAUUUUGCCAUACCUGGUUCAUUCUGACACUGAAGUAGCCUUAUUAAAGGACACUGUUUUGUAUGAAA
Felis catus (domestic cat) is the source of this 7178-nucleotide long non-coding RNA. RefSeq lists it as uncharacterized. The transcript is spliced from 2 exons. Lineage: Eukaryota; Metazoa; Chordata; Mammalia; Carnivora; Felidae. The record is from RefSeq and is a predicted model, not a curated record.